This 261-nucleotide long non-coding RNA is filed under the name Erythranthe guttata (spotted monkey flower). Its description in RNAcentral is "long non-coding RNA (EGUT_LNC000589)". The record is from RNAcentral. Lineage: Eukaryota; Viridiplantae; Streptophyta; Magnoliopsida; Lamiales; Phrymaceae.
AUAUUGAGAAAUAAAAAAGUUGCUUCCCUCGGCAUUUUCAAUGUCUAGUGGUCAUUUGGCUGGUUUUGUCCAUUUCACUACUAUAGGGGGGGAGGUGUCCAAGGAGGGUGCUAGGCCAAGGUGCUAGCAACUUUGCCCAAGGUGCUAGCAACUUGGGCAAAGGUGCUAGCAACUUGGGCAAAGUUGCUAGCAACUUUGGCAAAAGAGGGCCUGCCGCGCCCCCCUGCGGCAGGAAUGGUGGGCCAGUGGUGGCGGGCGGGC